This 774-nucleotide ribosomal RNA is filed under the name uncultured Neocallimastigales. Its description in RNAcentral is "partial large subunit ribosomal RNA". It matches the Rfam family "Eukaryotic large subunit ribosomal RNA", at positions 24 to 620 of the family's 3401-position model. Lineage: Eukaryota; Fungi; Neocallimastigomycota; Neocallimastigomycetes; Neocallimastigales. The record is from RNAcentral.
UAUGUGAUCGUCUCUCGCAUAUCAAUAAGCGGAGGAAAAGAAACUAACAAGGAUUCCCUUAGUAACGGCGAGUGAAGCGGGAAGAGCUCAAAUUUGAAAUCUUCAAGGUUUUACCUUGACGAAUUGUAGUUUAAAGAAGUGUUUUCUGUUGAAGUUUUGGUAAAAGUUCUUUGGAAUAGGACAUCAUAGAGGGUGAGAAUCCCGUAUUUGACCAUUAUUUUCAGCUGUGUGAUACACUUUCAAAGAGUCGGAUUGUUUGGGAAUGCAGUCCAAAAUGGGUGGUAAAUUUCAUCUAAAGCUAAAUAUUGGCGAGAGACCGAUAGCGAACAAGUACCGUGAGGGAAAGAUGAAAAGAACUUUGAAAAGAGAGUUAAACAGUACGUGAAAUUGUCAAAAGGGAAGCGUUUGACACCAGUGUUGUUUUCUCGAAAAUCAAUUAAAAAGAGUUAGAUUUUGUUGUGUAUUGACCUUAACAGCUUGCAUUUCAAUUUUCUUGCUUUUUUUAAUGCACUUUUCGUUUAACAAGUCAACAUCAGUUUCUUUUGUUGUAAAAAGGUCAUUGGAAGGUGGCUUUCUUUUCGGAGAAAGUGUUUAUAGCCUUUGACUCCUGCAAUCGGAGAGACUGAGGUCUGCAGCGUAGAUCCUUCGGGGUUAGAUACAUUUGUGCUAAGUUAUAGCUUUUUAUAGACAACUUGUUGACUAUGAUUAGUCUCGUAGCUUACUCGCUUAUGCUAUUUUACCUACGCUUAGGAUGUUGAAGAUGUAGCACAUCAU